Molecule: long non-coding RNA, 810 nt
Organism: Ooceraea biroi (clonal raider ant)
Lineage: Eukaryota; Metazoa; Arthropoda; Insecta; Hymenoptera; Formicidae
Source: RefSeq, a predicted model, not a curated record
ACCAUCGUACUGAGCUAUCAGUCGACGGGGAACGGCCGCUCUGCGCGCGCAGUCUUAUCAGUCGCUUCGCGCGCUGCCGGGACGGGUUUUCAAAAUGCGCGGUCCAUGAAAGCCGCGCGGAAGAGCUCACGGUUCGUGAGAAAAAUCGGGAAGUUUUCCAGACGGUGUGAACUGAUAAAUACGAUGGGGAACAUAAUGGGGAAUGAUAAAUAAGUACGCGACGGAGAAGAAAGAGACGCAACGCUGAGAUCUCCGCAACGCCGGAUAUUCAAUUAGCGGAAAGAGGCCUCAGCUUCUCUGCCCGCCAGCCGCUGUCUGUAGCCGCCCUCAUUGGAAGAACACUUCGAUGAUGUUUUUGCAGAUGUGUUCCCGUGUCGCAGCCAGCGACAGAAAUUGUCCCGCUGACCCGUCUACGCUUCGAAUAAAAUUACGGCCGUUGCGUGCACGGCAGAACGAUAUUUAGCCCGGUCUGUUUGCCACCGAUGUCUCACCAAUGUCAUGUCACUAUCGAUUUUGCAAUUAUCUUACAGUACAGUCUAGUCGUGUUCAUGUAUCGGUGUGCUUGUGUCCCCCGUAAUAGUUCCUAGUCUAAUAAUAUCCGAACGAACGAUCUAUCGUGAAUGUCUCGCGUGUCAUGACUUUCGACGCGACUUUCGCAUGGAACCUGUAUCGCAUUCGCGGACACCAUCAUAUGGGACACCAUCGUUGCUUACUAUUUUUUACUAUUUUUGCGGCCCUCAUUUUAGUGACAAUGUGGAACGAAGCAUAAAACGGCUUGGUCUUUCAAAAUAAAGCUUUUAUUAGAUCUGA